This 249-nucleotide ribosomal RNA is filed under the name uncultured bacterium. RNAcentral's name for it is "partial 16S ribosomal RNA". It matches the Rfam family "Bacterial small subunit ribosomal RNA", at positions 8 to 283 of the family's 1533-position model. The record is from RNAcentral.
AGAGUUUGAUCCUGGCUCAGAGCGAACGCUGGCGGCAUGCUUAACACAUGCAAGUCGCACGAGGGUUUCGGCCCUAGUGGCGGACGGGUGAGUAACGCGUAGGUAUCUAUCCUGGGGUGGGGGAUAACAGCGGGAAACUGCUGCUAAUACCGCAUGACACCUGUGGGUCAAAGGCGCGAGUCGCCUUGGGAGGAGCCUGCGUCCGAUUAGCUAGUUGGUGGGGUAACUGCCUACCAAGGCGACGAUCGG